Molecule: long non-coding RNA, 2408 nt
Organism: Astatotilapia calliptera (eastern happy)
Lineage: Eukaryota; Metazoa; Chordata; Actinopteri; Cichliformes; Cichlidae
Source: Ensembl
AACAGAAAAAUCAGCAUUUAAUAUGUCUAUAUAGACAGCAAUCAGGAUCAUAAGUAAAGUGUUUUAAAAUUUGACAUAGAAUACAGGAGUCCGAGAAUUGAAAUCCACUUUGAAAUUUAUUCCAAUAAUUUGGCAUAAAGUUUAGGACCAUGACUCCAGAUGCACCCAUCCAAGCUGUAUAAUUAAAGCCAAUGACAGCCGAAUUAAAUAACAUUCAUCAUUUCAACACAAUGCAACGCUCUACUGGGAAAUCUUGUGUACUGGCAUUCAUGUGGAUGUUACUUGACAUGUACCACCCACCUGACCAAAUACAUAAUUCCAUGUAAUGGCACUCCAAAGAUCAGUGGCCUUCUGCAGCCUGCCAGCCUGUGAAAACUGUCCAGAAAUUGCUUGAGGAACAUAACAAAGAACCUAAAUUGUUGACCUUGCCUCCAAACUCCCCAUAUCCCAAUCCAAUCAAACAGCCGUGGGAUGCACCAGAACGAGCCAGAACACAACUGAGCCCCCACGUUGCAACCCACUCAAAGGGUUCACUGCCAACAUCCAGCUGCCAGAAUGAGGUUCAUUCUCCAUAACCCGAUAGGUUAGAGCAGUUGUGGGGAUGCGAAAGGGCCAUACCCAAAAAUUAAAAAAAUAAUAUUACUUUUGCAUCUCUUUUAGUGUCAGGUUGACAUUUGGUAGUUUUGAUUAAUUUAAAAAAAAAAAAAAAAAACUAUCAAGUGGGACGGCAUGAAAUUUGCCUGACACAUUUAUUUCUCUCCCAAAAUGUACUCCCCUCAAAAUAAAUCUCUCACUCUAUCACUGUCAUGUUAUCUAGCAGCACCAAAUGUUCACAAGCUAACAUGCCAAAUUAAGAGAGAGAAACCUGUCAAACAUUACAUCUGCAUCACUACUUAUGGCUGUCAAGGUGACAAUAUCAUUUACCUCAAAGGCCGGUUGUACCACUUCCCCUGCCAGUGGCAGACGCCUGCAGGCAUCGGCGCGUUGGUGGUUCUUUGUGUCUGGGGAUGGGCGUCCGGGUACCCACCGGCUCACUCCUUGGUGGCUGCUUGUCGGGGCCUGGAGCCUGGGGCUCGCUCGGGCCACUUCGGGGGUGGGGUGCCCUCGGCCUCCUGGCCUGGGGCUCGGUCACUCUGGCAUAGCUGGCUGCCGGCGGAGCUCACGGGCACGUCGCUGCAACCCCCCCUGGCCUCUGCUCCGCGGAUACUGAGUGACCCCUCAUAUGGGGCUCUCCUCAGCUCUUUCUGGGAUGGUGGCGCGGUUGCCCCUCUGUUGGUCUUCCUUGGUCUCUUGUGUUCUGAGGGCCUCUGGAUGUCUGGAGUCUUGAUCUCCUCCAUACCUGCUUCAUGCCCUGGAGGACGGGGCUGCGGCUCCCCACACCCUCUAGCAGAUCAUUACAUAAUAAUAAUAAUAAUGGAUUGGAUUUAUAUAGCGCUUUUCAAGGCACCCAAAGUGCUUUACAAUGCCACUAUUCAUUCACUCUCGCAUUCACACACUGGUGAAUGCAAGUGUGUGAAUGGUGAACAUGAAGGAACCUUUUAAAUACAAGCGCUCAUGCUCACGGGUGUACACACGGGUGCUCACACACACAAACUACACUCUUUUUGGCUCCUACCUCAAAUCACACUGUGCGCUGUCGAUCUUACAUGCUGCACAAUAAUGUUUAAUAUUUAGUAUUUACUGUUACAUUCCCAUAGAUCAUCGUGAUGUUGUUUAUUAUGUUGGUCUUUUUUUUCUUUCUUCUGCUUGUUUUCUCUUUUUUCUUUCUCAACAGGUGAUCCAGGUGAUUGAUAUAUGUAUUUUUUGUCUGCUUAUUUUGUUGUUUUUUUGUUUUUUGCCCUUUAUCCCCAUGCCUCUUCCCUGCUGUUUUUCUUUCCCUCUUUCUUUCUCCCCUUUCUUUUCCCCAGGCAAGUCUGUCCCGUAUUUAACAAGUAAAAAUAAAAUAAACAAUAAAAGGUCAAUCAAAUGGAACAAUACGGCAAGGCUGGGAUGGUCCAUUUGGUAAAGUAAAUCCGUUGGGCAUCUUUCUUCACCUUUAGACAAUAAUUCUGAUGGCAAAAGAGCCAAAUGGGACAGGCAAAACAAAACAAAACAAAAAAACAAAAAAAAAACAAAGGCCGGUUGUAGUCUUCUGAAACUGUGGUAAAAAUGAAACCUUGUAGAGUCCAAAUGACUCUUACAAAGUUUUCGUUUUUCUUCGGAGUUUAGAAAAAUGCCCCAGCUGAAACACACCUACUUAGCAAUUUGCCUAGAAAUACGCUGGGAGCUGACUGCAUAAUCAGCUUUUGUAAGUUGGGUAAAUUUGCAACUUGAAUGAUUUAGGAAAUUUUAAUGAACUUGUAACUAGUUUAAAAAAAAAAAGUCCUGUGAUUUCAUGGUAAUAAAUAUUCCCCCUUUUCCCCUCCCCC